CCUACGGGAGGCUGCAGUGAGGAAUAUUGGUCAAUGGACGAGAGUCUGAACCAGCCAAGUAGCGUGAAGGAUGACUGCACUAUGGGUUGUAAACUUCUUUUAUAUGGGAAUAAAAUGUUCCACGUGUGGGAUUUUGUAUGUACCAUAUGAAUAAGGAUCGGCUAACUCCGUGCCAGCAGCCGCGGUAAUACGGAGGCUCCGAGCGUUAUCCGGAUUUAUUGGGUUUAAAGGGAGCGUAGGUGGAUUGUUAAGUCAGUUGUGAAAGUUUGCGGCUCAACCGUAAAAUUGCAGUUGAAACUGGCAGUCUUGAGUACAGUAGAGGUGGGCGGAAUUCGUGGUGUAGCGGUGAAAUGCUUAGAUAUCACGAAGAACUCCGAUUGCGAAGGCAGUUCACUGGACUGCAACUGACACUGAGGCUCGAAAGUGUGGGUAUCAAACAGGAUUAGAUACCCUAGUAGUC
RNAcentral lists this ribosomal RNA (460 nucleotides) under uncultured bacterium. RNAcentral's name for it is "partial 16S ribosomal RNA". It matches the Rfam family "Bacterial small subunit ribosomal RNA", at positions 338 to 795 of the family's 1533-position model. The record is from RNAcentral.